RNAcentral lists this ribosomal RNA (497 nucleotides) under uncultured bacterium. Its description in RNAcentral is "partial 16S ribosomal RNA". It matches the Rfam family "Bacterial small subunit ribosomal RNA", at positions 28 to 507 of the family's 1533-position model. The record is from RNAcentral.
GAUGAACGCUGGCGGCGUGCCUAAUACAUGCAAGUCGAGCGAACAGACGAGGAGCUUGCUCCUCUGACGUUAGCGGCGGACGGGUGAGUAACACGUGGAUAACCUACCUAUAAGACUGGGAUAACUUCGGGAAAACGGAGCUAAUACCGGAUAAUAUAUUGAACCGCAUGGUUCAAUAGUGAAAGACGGUUUUGCUGUCACUUAUAGAUGGAUCCGCGCCGCAUUAGCUAGUUGGUAAGGUAACGGCUUACCAAGGCAACGAUGCGUAGCCGACCUGAGAGGGUGAUCGGCCACACUGGAACUGAGACACGGUCCAGACUCCUACGGGAGGCAGCAGUAGGGAAUCUUCCGCAAUGGGCGAAAGCCUGACGGAGCAACGCCGCGUGAGUGAUGAAGUUCUUCGGAUCGUAAAACUCUGUUAUUAGGGAAGAACAAAUGUGUAAGUAACUAUGCACGUCUUGACGGUACCUAAUCAGAAAGCCACGGCUAACUACGUG